RNAcentral lists this ribosomal RNA (515 nucleotides) under uncultured Gram-positive bacterium. RNAcentral describes it as "bacterial SSU rRNA". It matches the Rfam family "Bacterial small subunit ribosomal RNA", at positions 8 to 521 of the family's 1533-position model. The record is from RNAcentral.
AGAGUUUGAUCCUGGCUCAGGAUGAACGCUGGCGGCGUGCCUAACACAUGCAAGUCGAACGGAGUCGUUUUGGAAAAUCCUUCGGGAUUGGAAUUCUCGACUUAGUGGCGGACGGGUGAGUAACGCGUGAGCAAUCUGCCUUUAAGAGGGGGAUAACAGUCGGAAACGGCUGCUAAUACCGCAUAAAGCAUCAAAUUCGCAUGUUUUUGAUGCCAAAGGAGCAAUCCGCUUUUAGAUGAGCUCGCGUCUGAUUAGCUAGUUGGCGGGGUAACGGCCCACCAAGGCGACGAUCAGUAGCCGGACUGAGAGGUUGAACGGCCACAUUGGGACUGAGACACGGCCCAGACUCCUACGGGAGGCAGCAGUGGGGAAUAUUGCGCAAUGGGGGAAACCCUGACGCAGCAACGCCGCGUGAUUGAAGAAGGCCUUCGGGUUGUAAAGAUCUUUAAUUCGGGACGAAAUUUGACGGUACCGAAAGAAUAAGCUCCGGCUAACUACGUGCCAGCAGCCGCGGU